Molecule: ribosomal RNA, 337 nt
Filed under: uncultured bacterium
Lineage: Bacteria
Description: bacterial SSU rRNA
Rfam family: Bacterial small subunit ribosomal RNA
Source: RNAcentral
UUUGUUAAGCGAGAUGUGAAAGCCCCGGGCUCAACCUGGGAACUGCAUUUCGAACUGGCAAACUAGAGUGUGAUAGAGGGUGGUAGAAUUUCAGGUGUAGCGGUGAAAUGCGUAGAGAUCUGAAGGAAUACCGAUGGCGAAGGCAGCCACCUGGGUCAACACUGACGCUCAUGUACGAAAGCGUGGGGAGCAAACAGGAUUAGAUACCCUGGUAGUCCACGCCGUAAACGAUGUCUACUAGAAGCUCGGAACCUCGGUUCUGUUUUUCAAAGCUAACGCAUUAAGUAGACCGCCUGGGGAGUACGGCCGCAAGGUUAAAACUCAAAUGAAUUGACGG